AGGAUGGCAAAGUUGGUGAGCUCCAUGUUCAUCGGAAAACUGUCUGGCCACCACACAAAUAAUGCUUGCCUGUGUGUUCACAUCUUCAUUCAUACACAGAAAAGAUGAGUCAUCUUUGAUGACAUACUCCUGGAAUACCAAAACAUUGUAGGCCAAGGCAGUAGGCACAUGCUAUAAGGCUAGCCUUGGCCUUAACAAGAUCCUGUCUCAAAAGAGCAUAGAAGCAAGAUGUAUUUUAGAAUUUUUCCAAGAAUUAAGUACUAUGAUUUAUUAUUGGCAAAAACUUUAUAAUAAUUUGUGCUGUAUGUGAAUUAUGUAACAUUUUAAGUAUACUAAGUCUAGGACCUGAAGAGAUGGCGCAGAGGUUAAAAGCACACACUGCUCUUGUAUGUCCAGCAGCAACCCCAUCAGGUAGCUUCAGUGGAUCUAAAGUCUCUGCCUUCUUAGGCAGUGCACUGACAUUGUACAGACGUGUGUGUACUCAAUCAUGCAUAGUGAGUAAAGUAGAUGUGAAACACAUGAUCUAAUAAAGUCAAAUGUUUACUAAGUAUAUCAUUACCACCAAAUAAACCUUCCAUCCAACUGUAGUCCAAUAUUUAACAUGAACUUUUGUUUUGUCUCAUGCCAUAUGUAUUUUAAGAUAUGCCUCUGUUUAUAAUGUGCAAUAAAUAGGAGACUUUCCCCGUCUUCAUACUUUCUCCAGUCCCAGCAGACAUACUUCAUCCUACAUCUGACAGAAACUUCAGAAUUCAUCUAUUUCAAUUUGUGUUGCUAUCAUCAUAAAAAUGAGGCCUUGAAACUAGCUUGUUCAUAUUUACACUACCCAGAUAUAUUUUUUACUCAAUUCUGAAUUUUAUCAGCUGGUGGGCAGUUAGCAAUUACUUCUCAGAUCCAAAAUCACAUAUUCUAUAUCUAUGC
Molecule: long non-coding RNA, 918 nt
Filed under: Mus musculus (house mouse)
Lineage: Eukaryota; Metazoa; Chordata; Mammalia; Rodentia; Muridae
Description: long non-coding RNA chr12:65131140-65132058
Source: RNAcentral